RNAcentral lists this ribosomal RNA (458 nucleotides) under uncultured bacterium. Its description in RNAcentral is "partial 16S ribosomal RNA". It matches the Rfam family "Bacterial small subunit ribosomal RNA", at positions 338 to 795 of the family's 1533-position model. The record is from RNAcentral.
CCUACGCGAGGCAGCAGUGAGGAAUAUUGGUCAAUGGGCGAGAGCCUGAACCAGCCAAGUCGCGUGAGGGAGUACUGCCCUAUGGGUUGUAAACCUCUUUUGUCGGGGAGCAAAAGCCGGACGUGUCCGGCUGUGAGAGUACCCGAAGAAAAAGCAUCGGCUAACUCCGUGACAGCAGCCGCGGUAAUAGGGAGGAUGCGAGCGUUAUCCGGAUGUAUUGGGUUGAAAGGGUGCGCAGGCGGAUUUUUAAGUCAGCGGGCAAAUCGUGGGGCUCAACCCCAUCCAGCCGUUGAAACUGGGGAUCUAGAGUGUGCGAGAGGUAUGCGGAAUGCGUGGUGUAGCGGUGAAAUGCAUAGAUAUCACGCAGAACCCCGAUUGCGAAGGCAGCAUACCGGUGCACAACUGACGCUCAGGCACGAAAGCGUGGGUAUCGAACAGGAUUAGAUACCCCUGUAGUC